GUCCUUGUCGAUUAGUGGUUAGAUCAUCACGUUGUGGAAACGCAAAGCCGUGAAGACGGAGGCUCGAAUCCUCCCUGGGACA
Molecule: transfer RNA, 82 nt
Filed under: Ganoderma leucocontextum
Lineage: Eukaryota; Fungi; Basidiomycota; Agaricomycetes; Polyporales; Polyporaceae
Description: tRNA-His
Rfam family: tRNA
About the family: Transfer RNA (tRNA) molecules are approximately 80 nucleotides in length. Their secondary structure includes four short double-helical elements and three loops (D, anti-codon, and T loops).
Source: RNAcentral